AAUGGGGGAAACCCUGACGCAGCAACGCCGCGUGAAGGAUGAAGGUUUUCGGAUUGUAAACUUCUUUGAUCGGGGACGAAAAUGACGGUACCCGAGGAACAAGCCACGGCUAACUACGUGCCAGCAGCCGCGGUAAUACGUAGGUGGCAAGCGUUGUCCGGAAUUACUGGGCGUAAAGGGCGUGUAGGCGGGGGAUCAAGUCAGAUGUGAAAUUCCAUGGCUUAACUGUGGCGCNGCAUCUGAAGCUGGUCCUCUUGAGUACUGGAGAGGAAAGUGGAACUCCUAGUGUAGCGGUGAAAUGCGUAGAGAUUAGGAGGAACACCAGUGGCGAAGGCGGCUUUCUGGACAGUAACUGACGCUGAGGCGCGAAAGCGUGGGGAGCAAA
Molecule: ribosomal RNA, 385 nt
Filed under: uncultured bacterium
Lineage: Bacteria
Description: bacterial SSU rRNA
Rfam family: Bacterial small subunit ribosomal RNA
Source: RNAcentral